This is a long non-coding RNA of Cygnus olor (mute swan), 3719 nucleotides long. RefSeq lists it as uncharacterized. The transcript is spliced from 20 exons. The record is from RefSeq and is a predicted model, not a curated record. NCBI's taxonomy places the organism in Eukaryota, Metazoa, Chordata, Aves, Anseriformes, Anatidae.
UUACCUUCUCUAAAAUACUUGCUGAUUCCCUUUGAUGUUUUCCGUGUUCCAUUCUCUUUCUUUCCCCAACAUCCAGUACAGCUCUCUUAUGUGGUGAUGGCUAUACAGCUGAUGCUUAACCCAACCUAGCAGAAGCUGUCUCCAAGCACGUAAGACUGGCAGGAAGCUAGAAGUGUGAUCAUCUCCCUACAUAGAUGAUCUGUAGGAUUCUCUAAAAGGAAGUCAAAAAGGGAGACUUGGAAAUGUUAUCCCAGAGAACUGCUGUCCAGAGGAGCAUCCCACAGGACCAUAGCAUUUCAUGUUCUGGAUCUGUGGAGACGUGCAAGAUUUAGUGAUGAUAAAGGCAGGAGGAAAUCAAGGAAGGAAAACACAGUGUUCUGGCAGGUCAGCAACUGGCAACAUUCUUCCUAGAAAAGAAAAGUUGAUGCCAAAUGAAGCCUCAAGUUGGUCUUACUCUUGUCUGUGUACGGCAGGGGAAGGUUUCUGAUGAAAUUUCAUACAACUAGAAGUAAAAGAAGUUUUAAUUCAGCCUUCAACAGAAAUGAAGGACAUCGUGACCCAAACACACCGAUUUUGUUGUAUGGAUGCAGAUGAGCUUAUACAGUUAGGCAGCAGAUUAACAUGGCUGCAAAGUGCGGACUCCUGGCCCAUAAACUCUGCACGGAAUAUCAGCAUACAGACUUCCCAGAGUCAUCUCCAAGUUGUCAUGGGCAACCUCUUCUCUGCUACCAGAGAGGAAUAAACCAAGACCACCAGCAAAGUCAUUAUGUAAUAUGCUGUGGAUAUGAGCAUUGUCCUCAGGAAUUACCUAUAAAGGAAACUGGAAACUCCAUGGAAUCUCUCUGUCAUCUUUACCUCCAGAUGGUGCCUCCAAAUCUCUUCUGAAAGGGCUUGUGCAGAGCAGAGUUGUUACAUUAAAUCACCACAGAGUGCAUAUCAUUCAGCCUUGUGAUGGCAAUGCUCAGGCAACAGAGGGACAAACAGAACACAAAACCAUGACGGACUUGCAAGCAAGGCUGAAGAUAGAUGCCCAGAGAUGGCAACAAGAAAUUUCACAGCGCCAAACAAUGAACCUACUGUCAGUUAAUACCAGGGAGAGAAAUACUAUCACUGAAACCAUGAAGGAAGUCCUGGAAUCUAGACCAUGUCCUGAUUACUGCCUGCCCGCUCUUUGAGAUGUUUGUGGCUGAUUGCACUGGGAGAGAGGAUAUUGCUUUAGAUGGAGUACUGAGCUGUUCCUAUAUGCCCUUGACCAUUGAGGUGCUGUGGUUUAAUUGUGUGAAACUGAGUUUCAAGAUUCAAGAUACUUCUCAGAUUGUUCUGCAAUAAAUUCUUCAGAUUCAGCAGCUUCAGCACAAGGGAGCCCGUGGACGUUGAAUUAACCAGAUCUCUGCAGCUAUCACAUGAAAAACAGUUUCUUUCUUCUGGAUCCUUCAGACUUCCCAGCCUUGUUUACAGAAGUCAGUAUGAACAGUAACGGGCAUUCACAAAUGUGCUUUAGAGGAACCUUUGGGGAAGGUGUCUCAGAGUGCUUUGUCAUUUGCUGACAAACUGGUGCCAGGACCAGAACUUAAUGAAGUCUUCAGAGAAAAUUUUGUGGCAGAUCAAGGAAUCUCAAAGAUUUUCUGGCAUUCCAAAAAAAUAGGCCAGGGCAGUAGCUUGGAGUUAUUUGCAGUUUAUCUCCCUGUGAUAUCUUCAGUCUUUAAAGCCUAUUGAGCACCUCUGCUAUGCUGCCAAUGCAAAUUACCUUGGACCAUCAGGCAGGAGAGGGCCGAGUUGGUAUGCUGCUGGUUCUCUGUUGCCUUCCACACUCUGGAGCUGGAUUCAUGUCAGCAAGUAGGUGCCAUUCUUUUUCCAGGAGGACAGUAACAAAAUUUGCUCCCUUACAUAUUAAAGAAUCCCAGGAGACACUGUGCUUUCCUGAAGGAGAUUGUUUCAGUGCUGAGCUGAUGUUUCUGUUACCACAGAGGACUUCCAAUUCUUAGGUACUUAUGAAACAAAGUUCAGAGGAGCACUGGAGAUGACGCAAUAUGAAACACAUCCACAGAGGAAGAAGCACCAGUUACGAUUGUUUAGUCCCAGCAGAAUACAUACCUUUCUCUCGCACGCCAGCAGACUGAGGUAGCAAUGCUGACUCCCAGGGCUGCAGGCAGGUGAUGGAGUCCUGAGGUGCCCCGAACCGAACAGGAUAACAGAUCCCACAACAAAGGCAGCUGCACUCACAGGAACGCAGGCAUGGCGAGGACUGCUGGGUCCAGCCAGCACAGGCAGGCAGCGCCCCACUGCCGAGGCUGGGAGGGCUCCCAGCUCAUCUGUCUGGGCUACUCGGUUCCGCAGGACUUGAGAAGUUGGAAACUCAGGCUAAUAUCUGUGUCUGCAGCUCCUUCCACUGGGGACUAUGCCUCCUCUAGCACGUGUGCCCAGCAUCUUACCUCACAGUGGGUAACCCCAAGAAGGUUCUUCCAUGGCUGCUGCAGAAGAGCGGGGUUGCAUGCCAGAGUAGUCCAUUUACUCCUGUGAGCAGCUGCGCCAUUCAGCUCUGGAAUGACAGUAUAACCAAAAAUAAGAAGGCUGAGGCUUACGUGAGGAGUGAAGGAUGAUGUAAGACACUAACUGAGAUACCUGGAUGCCAAUACCACUUAGUGGUCAGACACUCAGCAGAGCUAAGACAGAAUGGGAAAAAAACAUUAAAGAAAACUCAGUGAAGACAAGAUUCCCAGAAUGUCAGAAGAAAAAAAAUAUUCAAAGGCCAGAUUUCCAGGAAUGGACUGAGACACGUGAACUCUCCGGGCAUUGUGAAUCUCCCUGGGUCCUGGGAACUCUGUGACUAGGAUUAUGUGAGGAAGAGUAAAGCUUUCUGGUGAUCUCAGCUGAGCACAUCAGAGUAAGUUACUUUUCAAAAGAAGAGAUGACCUUGGUAACCUCCUACUGAAACUCUUGUGUUUCAUCUUUAACAUGAAACAGUCAAGCAGUGACAUAACCCAAGCCACACCCAGGCAUACACGUGAGCUGAAGGCGAGAAUGGGCCUGUCCAGCACGUAGAGCUGCAAGGAGAAAAGCUUUUAAUGUCCCAUGACUGGGAGCUCACCCAGAGACCUUCCUCUGCACACAGCAGCAACGGACCAGGCAAUUUCAAUGGGAUUAUAUGUAUACAUUUACUUAACUCCCUGUAAAACCCAAGCCUUAGGAACAUAUAUGUACAGCUGUUCCAUAGGAGGCACACCUAUAUUAGUGCAUGUAAUUAUUAAAAUAAACUUGAAAUCUAGGGGAGCCCAGAUCUUUAACCUGGAAAGUUUGAAGUUGUUUGGAUCUUGACAUUUCCAUUUGUUUAAUGACAGAAACAAACUAAUUCCAAAGUCUGUGUUUGAAGGUGGAUGCACUUUUUCCUAGUUUUGAGAAGUGUCAGGACACAGGAAUCGGACUGCCCUACCUCAACUGCAUUAGAUUAACUGAGUGAAUAUGAAGAAUCUUCUGUUAUAAAGGAAUGGGUUCUCAAGAGCCAGGACAAUUCCACAUAAAAUUAUGGUUUGCAUCUACAUAAAUGGCAUGUAAAUAAAUUAAUGCAAAUAUCCAACAAAUUGUAAAGGUUUAAAAUGUAUUUUAUCCAGUUGUUUGUUGAACAGUAUUUACCUUUAGCCUUUCAUAGGUUGUUAAAAAAUCUGAAUGUGUAAUAACUUCCUCUGAAUGUUUCAAUUUAAGCUAAUGUACUGUUCCUUUAU